GAUUAACGCUGGCGGCGUGCAUAACACAUGCAAGUCGAACGAUGAAACUUUAAUGAACCCUUCGGGGAGAAUUAAAGCGGCUUAGUGGCGAACGGGUGAGUAACGCGUGAGUAACCUGCCUACACCAAGGGAAUAGCCUUUGGAAAGGAGAAAAAUUCCCUAUAAAAACAUUACAACACAAGCAAUUAUGGGUAAAGUGAUAGCGGUGUAAGAUGGACUUGCGUCUGAUUAGCUAGUUGGUGAGAUAAAAGCCCACCAAGGCAACGAUCAGUAGCCGGCUUGAGAGAGUGUACGGCCACAUUGGGACUGAGACACGGCCCAGACUCCUACGGGAGGCAGCAGUGGGGAAUUUUGCACAAUGGGGGAAACCCUGAUGCAGCGACGCCGCGUGAUUUAGAAGGCCUUCGGGUUGUAAAAAUCUUUUGUAUAGGAAGAAAAUGACAGUACUAUACGAAUAAGGUCCGGCUAAUUACGUG
Molecule: ribosomal RNA, 476 nt
Filed under: uncultured bacterium
Lineage: Bacteria
Description: partial 16S ribosomal RNA
Rfam family: Bacterial small subunit ribosomal RNA
Source: RNAcentral